UUGAAAGUAUGUAUAAAUGACUGUUUCCUUGGGUGUUUGGAGCAUUUUUUAACUUGUGGAUUCCAAACAGUUUUUUUAUAAAAUAAGAGUACCUAUUAUCUUUGUCAAAGCAGGUUAAAUGUUGGGUCUGUAGGAUAUUGACCAUGGUAUUGUGUGCCUGGCUGUGUUUCCAAUCAAUAAGCAAUUACUCUGACUCCUUAUUUUCAGAUACUGCUCAAGACUAAGGAACAAAAAGUAAGCCCAAGGGAUAUUGCUGAGAAGAUUGCCAGAAAUAUUCCAAACAAUGAUUGCAUUGAGAAAAUUGAAAUUGCUGGACCUGGUUUCAUCAAUGUACACUUGAAGAAAGAUUUUGUAUCCAGACAGCUGAGCAGUGUGCUAAUGAAUGGAGUUCAACCACCCGCUUGUGAAAGAAAAAAGGUGAACUAUAAAUGGCUGUUGAUAUCUUAUCUUGUCCAAUAAGUUCAUUUUGGCUUUGCCAAAAUUGAAUGUUUUUUUAAAUAUGUUGUUUUAUUUGAGCCUCUGUACAAACACUUUCAUAACAAUGAAACAGGUCUUUCAUAGUAUUCCAGGAAAGAGAGCUAGUGACAGAAAAAUCAGCUCAUGCUUAUAAGCAUAGAAGAAUAUCUGUGACCUCCUUUAGAUUUUGAUCCAGAUUAAAAAUACAAGCUUCCAAAAAUUCUGUCCUUUUAAAUAUAAAAUUGUGUUAUUUUCUUUUCAAAGGAACAUUUGUACAAAACACAUAAUUUAUGUAGAACCUGAACAUACAGUAUGUAUUUCGUUUAUUUGAUUUUUAUCCCACCUUUUUUAUAGAUAAGGUGGCAAACAUACAUAAACUCUUCUCCCAUUUUCCUCACAUGGACAACCCUGUGAAGAAAUUGGUCUGAGAGAUGAUGAUUUGGUCCAACGUCACUCAGCCAGCUUUUAUGCCCAAGGCAGGACUAGGACUCACAGUCUCUUGGUUUCUAGGCCAGCAUCUUAACCGCUACACCAAACAAGUUGUAUAUGUUGUCUGGUUAGUGCAUACAUGGACUCCACAGAUAA
Molecule: non-coding RNA, 1041 nt
Organism: Notechis scutatus (mainland tiger snake)
Lineage: Eukaryota; Metazoa; Chordata; Lepidosauria; Squamata; Elapidae
Source: RefSeq, a predicted model, not a curated record